Molecule: signal recognition particle RNA, 266 nt
Filed under: bacterium
Lineage: Bacteria
Description: signal recognition particle sRNA large type
Rfam family: Bacterial large signal recognition particle RNA
About the family: The signal recognition particle (SRP) is a universally conserved ribonucleoprotein involved in the co-translational targeting of proteins to membranes. Archaeal SRP consists of a 7S RNA and homologues of the eukaryotic SRP19 and SRP54 proteins.
Source: RNAcentral
CCGUGCUAGACGGGGAGGUAGCGGUGCCCUGUAACCCGCAACCCGCUAUAGCGGGGUUGAACUCCUGCCCGAGGCCCCGGUCAACCGGGGACGGCGCGGCGUGGGCGGUGAAGAAGGCCGGAUCCCGCGCGACGGGCGCCUGGGAACCCCGUCAGGCCCGGAAGGGAGCAGCGGUAACCAGGAGAGCCCGGGUGCCGCGGGGAAAUCCGGGCGGAGCCGCCGGCGUCGCCAGCGCCCGGGGGGCCAGGUCGGAGGCAGGUGCACGG